CACGGGCAACCCAGAACUGGCCCUGCGGAUUAAUUUGACUCAACACCCCCCAACUCCCCCGGCCCGGACACCGUAAGGAUUGACAGACUGAGAGCUCUUUCUUAAUUCGGUGGGUGGUGGUGCAUGCCCGCUCUUAGUUGAUGGAGCGACUUGUCUGCCUAAUUCCGACAACGAACGACACUCUGGCCUAUUAAAUAGGCGCUUCAUAGAAAAGUGUAUCGAACUUCUUAGAGGGACCAGCGCCGCCUAGCCGCAUGAAAUACAGCAAUAACAGGGUCUGUGAUGCCCUUAGAUGCCGGGGCUGCACGCGCACUACACUGAAACAGUCAGCGUGCGUUUUACCUAGUUCGGAACAACCGGCUUACCCAAGCAAAUUCUUUCGUGCUUUGGUAUAGAGAAUUGCAAUCCCUUCUCUUAACGAGGACUUCCCAGUAAUGUGGGUCAUAAGCUCGCCUCGAUUCCGCCCCCUGCCCCUUUGUACACACCGCCCGUCCCCUCCUACCCGAUUGGAUGACUUAC
This 519-nucleotide ribosomal RNA is filed under the name uncultured eukaryote. RNAcentral describes it as "bacterial SSU rRNA". It matches the Rfam family "Eukaryotic small subunit ribosomal RNA", at positions 1159 to 1701 of the family's 1831-position model. The record is from RNAcentral.